CCUACGGGAGGCAGCAGUGGGGAAUAUUGGACAAUGGGCGAAAGCCUGAUCCAGCAAUGCCGCGUGAGUGAAGAAGGCCUUCGGGUUGUAAAGCUCUUUUACCCGGGAAGAUAAUGACUGUACCGGGAGAAUAAGCCCCGGCUAACUCCGUGCCAGCAGCCGCGGUAAUACGGAGGGGGCUAGCGUUGUUCGGAAUUACUGGGCGUAAAGCGUACGUAGGCGGCUUUCUAAGUCAGAGGUGAAAUCCCACGACUCAAUCGUGGAACUGCCUUUGAGACUGGAUCGCUUGAAGAUGGGAGAGGUAAGUGGAAUUCCGAGUGUAGAGGUGAAAUUCGUAGAUAUUCGGAAGAACACCAGUGGCGAAGGCGGCUUACUGGACCAUUCUUGACGCUGAGGUACGAAAGCGUGGGGAGCAAACAGGAUUAGAUACCCUGGUAGUCCACGCCGUAAACGAUGAUAACUAGCUGUCGGGGCUCUUAGAGCUUCGGUGGCGCAGCUAACGCAUUAAGUUAUCCGCCUGGGGAGUACGGCCGCAAGGUUAAAACUCAAAGGAAUUGACGG
Molecule: ribosomal RNA, 561 nt
Filed under: uncultured bacterium
Lineage: Bacteria
Description: bacterial SSU rRNA
Rfam family: Bacterial small subunit ribosomal RNA
Source: RNAcentral